Molecule: long non-coding RNA, 1357 nt
Organism: Zonotrichia leucophrys gambelii
Lineage: Eukaryota; Metazoa; Chordata; Aves; Passeriformes; Passerellidae
Exons: 3
Source: RefSeq, a predicted model, not a curated record
CAGCGACUCUCCCUCCGGCGGCUGCAGCAGCAGAGCCAGGCACACUGCAAUCCCAUUAGUGAGUGGCGGCCACUGUGAAGAAGAGUCUGUGACUGGGAAUAAUGCAAAAUAAUUUUACUUUUGAGAGACUCUAAACUCUUCAAACCAUUGUUAUAACAGAUGAUGCUUGACAUUGCCAAUCAUUCUAUCUUCCUUUUACUUGUGAUUUUGUUCAUUCUGCCUUAGCUACUGGAAGCAAAUCAGAGAUCUCAGUACUGAAGACAUUUCUCUAACUUGAAAGUCACACCAGCACAGAGCAUGCUUUUCAGGUCCACUUGGAAGUGUUGGCUCCUGACCAGCUACACUGGUACAAUACUCUGCUACACUGCUCACACUGACGCCAGCUCCCUUUUACUGCCAGCUUUCCACAAAGGUUGUGAAGAAUUUUUUUCUGUUCGUGCUUGGCCUUGUGGUGUCGAUUCAUAGAAACAGGUAGUUGCAAGAAAAUAUCCUGCUUUUUACCUUUUUAUCUUAAACAUUCCCUUCGAUUAUUUUCAUAAUAAAAUUGAUCAUUUAAAACCUUUUCUGUCGUAAAAUAGAAAAAACCCCCACCCUAACCUAUAUUGUAUAUCUGGAGAUAUUCUUUAAAACCUCUUUUCAUGGAGUUACUGAAGUAUGUGGUAAUCAAAAAUUAUUUUGGAAAAGCAUCACAGUCAGUCUUGGGCAGGCCACUGAAAACUGGCUUACUGGUUCUGGCCAAGGCAAGUCCUGUGUGUUAGCAGCUGUGCUCACUUCUUCCUUGGAGAACAUAAAGAGAGGACAAGUCACAGUCCCAAUACUUUCUGAAGGAUUAAUGUUACUGAAAAAAAUAAUGAAAAAUAUGUUUUGACAGUUUAGUACCUUUUGAAAAAAUAAUUGAAGUUAGAAAGUUAGAUGCCAGGAUUAGUCAAAUCAAUGUGACAUGAAAUGGCAGAGACUAUAAACCCUAAAAAGAAAAAUCUUUUAUGGUAACUUUAUCACAGUGUUCAUCGUAGAAGGGCAUAUAUAUAAUUAUGUAUGCAUGGUAGAACCCCUGUAAAGUAAUAACUUUUAAUGAAUAGCCCUGUUAAAAUAAUACAUUUCUGGGCACCAAACCAAAUAUGUACAGGAAUACAGUGCAAACCUUCUGAAUGAUAAAGCAGGAAACUAAAAAAAAAAGAAAAUAAAGAAAACUAACAAAAAAGAACAUUUAGUAGGAAAUUGGACUGAUAUGCCUGCUUAUAUUAAAAGCUGUACAUGUUUUCAUGAAAUCAAAAUAAAUUUGAUAAAAGAGACUUUUGAAAUUACUAUAUGCUGUACAAAUAUUGUUUAAUAAAAAUAAAAGAUUUUUGCCUCAGAA